CGCGUAGGUGGGAAAUUAAGUUGGAUGUGAAAGACUGGAGCUUAACUCCGGGAUGUCAUUCGAUACUGGUUUUCUAGAGUACAGUAGAGGGUAGUGGAAUUUCCGGUGUAGCGGUGAAAUGCGUAGAUAUCGGAAAGAACACCGGUGGCGAAGGCGGCUGCCUGGACUGAUACUGACACUGAGGCGCGAAAGCGUGGGUAGCGAACA
This 207-nucleotide ribosomal RNA is filed under the name uncultured bacterium. RNAcentral's name for it is "partial 16S ribosomal RNA". It matches the Rfam family "Bacterial small subunit ribosomal RNA", at positions 568 to 774 of the family's 1533-position model. The record is from RNAcentral.